AGAGUUUGAUCAUGGCUCAGAACGUACGCUGGCGGCACGCCUAAUACAUGCAAGUCGAACGAAGUAGCAAUACUUAGUGGCAGACGGGUGAGUAACAUGUAGGUAUCUUCCCAUUGGUGAGGAAUAACACGAGGAAACUUGUGCUAAUACCUCAUAAGUCUUUACGGAGAAAGCUUUAUGCGCCGAUGGAUGAGCCUGCACUUGAUUAGUUUGUUGGUAGGGUAAUGGCCUACCAAGACAAUGAUCAAUAGCUGAUUUGAGAGGAUGAUCAGCCACAUUGGGACUGAGACACGGCCCAAACUCCUACGGGAGGCAGCAGUAGGGAAUCUUGCACAAUGGGGGAAACCCUGAUGCAGCGAUGCCGCGUGAGUGAAGAAGGCCUUUGGGUUGUAAAGCUCUUUCGUCGGGGAAGAAAAUGACUGUACCCGAAUAAGAAGGUCCGGCUAACUUCGUGCCAGCAGCCGCGGUAAUACGAAGGGACCUAGCGUAGUUCGGAAUUACUGGGCUUAAAGAGUUCGUAGGUGGUUAAAAAAGUUGGUGGUGAAAUCCCAGAGCUUAACUCUGGAACUGCCAUCAAAACUUUUUAGCUAGAGUAUGAUAGAGGAAAGCAGAAUUUCUAGUGUAGAGGUGAAAUUCGUAGAUAUUAGAAAGAAUACCAAUUGCGAAGGCAGCUUUCUGGAUCAUUACUGACACUGAGGAACGAAAGCAUGGGUAGCGAAGAGGAUUAGAUACCCUCGUAGUCCAUGCCGUAAACGAUGUGUGUUAGACGUUGGAAAUUUAUUUUCUGUGUCGCAGCGAAAGCAAUAAACACACCGCCUGGGGAGUACGACCGCAAGGUUAAAACUCAAAUGAAUUGACGGGGACCCGCACAAGUAGUGGAGCAUGUGGUUUAAUUCGAAGAUACGCGCAGAACCUUA
This 917-nucleotide ribosomal RNA is filed under the name marine metagenome. RNAcentral's name for it is "bacterial SSU rRNA". It matches the Rfam family "Bacterial small subunit ribosomal RNA", at positions 8 to 973 of the family's 1533-position model. The record is from RNAcentral.